GACGAACGCUGGCGGCGUGCUUAACACAUGCAAGUCGAACGGAAAGGCCCCUUUGGGGGUACUCGAGUGGCGAACGGGUGAGUAACACGUGAGUAACCUGCCCUUGACUUCGGGAUAACUUCAGGAAACUGGGGCUAAUACCGGAUAGGAAUCCUUGCUGCAUGGUGGGGGUUGGAAAGCUUCGGCGGUUUUGGAUGGACUCGCGGCUUAUCAGCUUGUUGGUGGGGUAGUGGCUUACCAAGGCUUUGACGGGUAGCCGGCCUGAGAGGGCGUCCGGCCACAUUGGGACUGAGAUACGGCCCAGACUCCUACGGGAGGCAGCAGUGGGGAAUAUUGCACAAUGGGCGGAAGCCUGAUGCAGCAACGCCGCGUGCGGGAUGACGGCCUUCGGGUUGUAAACCGCUUUCAGCAGGGGCGAAGCUUGUGGUGACGGUACCUGCAGAAGAAGCACCGGCUAACUACGUG
This 465-nucleotide ribosomal RNA is filed under the name uncultured bacterium. Its description in RNAcentral is "partial 16S ribosomal RNA". It matches the Rfam family "Bacterial small subunit ribosomal RNA", at positions 28 to 507 of the family's 1533-position model. The record is from RNAcentral.